Molecule: ribosomal RNA, 552 nt
Filed under: uncultured bacterium
Lineage: Bacteria
Description: bacterial SSU rRNA
Rfam family: Bacterial small subunit ribosomal RNA
Source: RNAcentral
GACGAACGCUGGCGGCGCGCCUAACACAUGCAAGUCGAACGGAGUUAUUUUCUUCACUCCGAGCUUUUUGCCGGUUAGCCGGAGCGGCAAUCGGUUUUGCCCAGCAUAAAAAGCAAAACCAAUUUAGGCUCAUAAAGUAAGACUAACACAGAGGGCAGAGAGUUGGGAGUGAAGAAAAUAACUUAGUGGCGAACGGGUGAGUAACGCGUGAGUAACCUGCCCUGGAGUGGGGGACAACAGUUGGAAACGACUGCUAAUACCGCAUAAGCCCACGGCCCGGCAUCGGGCUGCGGGAAAAGGAUUUAUUCGCUUCAGGAUGGACUCGCGUCCAAUUAGCUGGUUGGUGAGGUAACGGCCCACCAAGGCGACGAUUGGUAGCCGGACUGAGAGGUUGAACGGCCACAUUGGGACUGAGACACGGCCCAGACUCCUACGGGAGGCAGCAGUGGGGGAUAUUGCACAAUGGGGGAAACCCUGAUGCAGCGACGCCGCGUGGAGGAAGAAGGUUUUCGGAUUGUAAACUCCUGUCGUUAGGGACGAUAAUGACGGUAC